This 486-nucleotide ribosomal RNA is filed under the name uncultured Desulfovibrio sp. Its description in RNAcentral is "bacterial SSU rRNA". It matches the Rfam family "Bacterial small subunit ribosomal RNA", at positions 898 to 1382 of the family's 1533-position model. Lineage: Bacteria; Pseudomonadati; Thermodesulfobacteriota; Desulfovibrionia; Desulfovibrionales; Desulfovibrionaceae. The record is from RNAcentral.
AACUCAAGGAAUUGACGGGGCCCGCGACAAGCGGUGGAGUAUGUGGUUUAAUUCGAUGCAACGCGAAGAACCUUACCUAGGUUUGACAUCCGGAAAACCUUCCCGAAAAGGAAGGGUGCCCUUCGGGGAAUUCCGAGACGGGUGCUGCAUGGCUGUCGUCAGCUCGUGCCGUGAGGUGUUGGGUUAAGUCCCGCAACGAGCGCAACCCUAUUGCCAGUUGCUACCAGGUAAUGCUGGGCACUCUGGUGAGACUGCCCCGGUUAACGGGGAGGAAGGUGGGGACGACGUCAAGUCAUCAUGGCCCUUACGCCUAGGGCUACACACGUACUACAAUGGCGCAUACAAAGGGCAGCGAUACCGCGAGGUGGAGCCAAUCCCAAAAAGUGCGUCCCAGUCCGGAUUGCAGUCUGCAACUCGACUGUCAUGAAGUUGGAAUCGCUAGUAAUUCGAGAUCAGCAUGCUCGGGUGAAUGCGUUCCCGGGCCUU